Molecule: long non-coding RNA, 329 nt
Organism: Eptesicus fuscus (big brown bat)
Lineage: Eukaryota; Metazoa; Chordata; Mammalia; Chiroptera; Vespertilionidae
Exons: 3
Source: RefSeq, a predicted model, not a curated record
UGAAACAAAAGGCGUCGUAGCGGUCGCGCUUCCGGUCGCGCGGCCCGUAGCUGCGGAUCCCUGGCCGACCGUGGCCGCCGCACGGAGCACGCGCGAGCGAGUGCCCCCACAUCUUCACACUCCUUACAGGGGCUGAGAGAGGCCAACAGCAGCUCCAGCACCUACCUGUUACAAGCUGGUCUCUUCACAGAGAUGGAGGGAGCCGUGACUGGCAGCUUUUUGUCCUGCUGGAGGGAGAGGUUCCAGGUGAAGGAGUUGCCACUGGGAGGUCGAAGCACCUUGGAGCCCCGGACUUAGGCAUCUGAUCACUUCGGAGCUGUGGUUUAGCC